CGGACUUCGACAUCUUGCGGCCUUCGACCUGCAGGAAGCCGUUGUGCAUCCAGACAUUCGCCAUCACCUCGGUGCCGUGGGCGCAACGCGACUGGGC
Molecule: small RNA, 97 nt
Filed under: Sinorhizobium meliloti 2011
Lineage: Bacteria; Pseudomonadati; Pseudomonadota; Alphaproteobacteria; Hyphomicrobiales; Rhizobiaceae
Description: putative ncRNA
Source: RNAcentral